UAACUUUAUUAUUAUUUUUUUAGGCAAAUAUGCACAUCAAUUUUUCAAUUUUAAAUUUGUAUUAUUAGAGCAAUUAUUGAGUUUCAAAUAUGGUACCUAUAUAUUGGUAUAAAAGUUAGGCCAUGAAUUGAAUGAUUUUUUUUUUUAUGCAGGUAACUUUUUUCUAGUCUUGAGAAUGGACAUUAAGUGCUUGAUUUCAUCCAUUGAAAGUUUUAGAAAUAAUCAUGGCAACAAAUGGAUUGAUUGAUAUAGUUAAUGAAUAUGAUGAAAACACAAAAAUAGGAGGGAAAAGAAGCAAUCAUUCGACAUCUUACUACAUUAAAAUAUAAAUGAUGAUAGUGAAUGAAGGGAGCUGCAGUGUGUCAAAAUGAGUAAACAGCAAAUGGAAUUACAGAAAGAUAUUGAAAUCUCUACAUUGAAAUACUGUGUUUUCUCACCACACAGUUCAAGGCUAUUUAUUAUUGUGUUUCUGAUGUCAUAUGAGUGGUUUGAGUUCAGUAUUUUUGUGAUUUUACGUUUUGCUAUUUUCUUUAUGUCAUUGGAUGUUUCUUAAUGGCAAACUCAAUUUUAUCUUGUAUUUACUUGUAACUUUGUUUUGGAAAUGCUGUUUUUGUAGGGCCUUGAUCAAAUAACAAUUUGAAGUUCUAGACGUGUAAAUGUGCCAAUUAAGCCUCACUGUACAUGGACCUAGAUGUAUAAAUACCAAACUGAACAUACCGAUGGACAAGACAAAUACUAAAUGACCCGUGCCCAAAUAUGGGGCUUAAAACAAAACAAAAAUAAAAUUUGUUGAUUUUGACUGAAGUUCAUGAUUGGUAAAUGAUACAAAAAAUAUAAACAACUUAUUGUUUUCUACACAUACUUUAACUAAUAUUAUGAUUUGCAUAAUGAAUAAUACAUAUCAACUAUCACAGUCAAACUCAUGUAAAAAUAUGUCAUGCAUUUGUAAAUAAUAUACCUGUAAGUCUAUUUGCAUAAAAU
RNAcentral lists this long non-coding RNA (981 nucleotides) under Mytilus galloprovincialis (Mediterranean mussel). Lineage: Eukaryota; Metazoa; Mollusca; Bivalvia; Mytilida; Mytilidae. The record is from RNAcentral.